AUACGUAGGGUGCGAGCGUUAAUCGGAAUUACUGGGCGUAAGGCGUGCGCAGGCGGUUUUGUAAGUCAGAUGUGAAAUCCCCGGGCUUAACCUGGGAACUGCGUUUGAAACUGCAAGGCUAGAGUGUGGCAGAGGGGGGUGGAAUUCCGCGUGUAGCAGUGAAAUGCGUAGAGAUGUGGAGGAACACCGAUGGCGAAGGCAGCCCCCUGGGUCAACACUGACGCUCAGGCACGAAAGCAUGGGGAGCAAACAGGAUUAGAAACCCCGGUAGUCC
RNAcentral lists this ribosomal RNA (274 nucleotides) under uncultured bacterium. Its description in RNAcentral is "partial 16S ribosomal RNA". It matches the Rfam family "Bacterial small subunit ribosomal RNA", at positions 523 to 796 of the family's 1533-position model. The record is from RNAcentral.